UUUUCAUGCAGCUUAGGCAAAGUUGUUCGUGAUGGAGUGAUUUUGCCUGAAGGAGCCAUUUAGGAAUGGGUUUAUCCAAAGAUGAUCGUCACGCAACUGGUCCUGUUUGUCGCACUGAGGUUAGACCCCUGCCACAGCAGUUAAUCUAAAAGCUUGCUUUGGAGUAAUUUGUGCUGGAUCGUACGUUACCUGUAUUACAGCUGGCUGUCACCAGGGGGGCUCCUUGGUAAAGAAAGCAACAGCUGCUCCAGCAAUUCAGCUCUGCUUGUGGUGCUGGUGCCUUGGAACAGGACUUGAGGUGUGGAAGCAGCAGGUCAGCAUUGAAGCACGAUGCUUAAAACUACUACCCCUCAUCCUAUCACUGCACUCCCCCAUAAGGAGCCACUCCUCAGCCUUUCUAUAGGCCCUUUCAGUACUGGGAGGCUGCUCUGUCUCCCCGAAGCCUUCUCUUCUCUAGGGUGAAUGACCACAACCGCCUCAGCCUGUCCUCAGAGGGGAGAUGCCGGAGCCCUCGGAUCAUCCUCAUGGCCUCCUCUGGACUCGCUCCAACAAAUCCAUGUCCUUCCUGUGCUGGAGACUCCAGAACUGAAUGCAGGACUGCAGAUGAGCUCUCACAAGAGCAGAGUAGAGGCGUAAAACUUUUCUAGACCUCAUCUCAAAAUGAGGCACUUGUUGCUAUGUCUUCACUUUCCAAGAGUCUUGCUGUACUGUCUACAAGAAGAGUAAUUUCCCACAAGGCGGCCACAUUUUCUUCGUUUUGAUCUUAAUUAGGACAAAUAUGUGAAAAAUGACGUUGCCCUUAAAAGUUAAUAAAAUAUUUCUCUAAACAGCUGUUAAUUAUCACGUAAAGCCACUGCCCUCAGUCUUCAUUGACAUGGUACAGAAAUUGUGUAUUUUUAAAUACUGAACAGUCAAAAGGAUAUUUAUCUUGGGAAAAGAGAAGCUGGCAUGGAGCCGGCAUGUGGCAGCAUGACAAGCGAGUGUCACAGGUGAGUUUUCCUGGGCCUGGUUUUAUCUAAGUUGCUGUGACUAAGGCAGAGAAACUUGUGUCUGAGCUGGUAAUGCCAGAAUCCUAUUAGAGCUGAGGAAACAGAAGGGGCAACUCAUCUGGCUGAUGCUUGUUUCUUUCCAUGGAUAGUACAGACAACAUUAGUGAUUAACUCCUGUUUUGGCAUUUACAUCUGCUCAGAUGAAUUCCAGCUUUACAGAGCUGGAAUCACAGCAUCUUCCUGAUGCAUUUGAAGCUUGUGGGCUUUGUAAAAGUGAUUCUCAGUGCUGCCCAGAUGCUUGAUCCCUCGCACCAUGCUGGGGUCCAGACUGUGCUCUUCCAGUUCCCUCUUCUGUGCCUCAUAAAACCUUUUCCAGACCUUUGCUGAGUGGACAUUCUACUGCUUGAUCCCUGAAACCAAGGAGGGCAGCUCAACACUAACACGCUGGGCUGUGAGCAGCAGGCGAAUACGGCAGCUGUUUGUGUAGGAACGAGAGCAUCACAAUAUCUAUUGAAACCCACAGUCGUAUACAAGCUCCUUGCAUUGCUUCACCUGUCAAGUUCAUGAGUGCCUGUCUCCCGAAGGUGCCUCUUUUCUUACUGAUCUCAUUGGUUUGAGCUUUCAUUUCUUCUUUGUGUGACCUGUUUUCCUUACAUCUCUCCUCUAUGCUUGCUCUCUCCCACCUGGUGCUCUUGAUGUUGUGUCAAGGCAGCUGAAAUGAAGAGUGCAAGCGAUGUGGCGUUCAUGUCGAUUUUUUCCAUUUGAUGCUUGCGUCUGCAAAAUGUGGCUGAAAGAAGAAAGGAACGGUGGAACAUCUCUGCCCAGGUACACGCAGGUAGUCUUGAGCUUGCAUGGAGCGGAUGCUCAGGUUGUGUCUGCAUUCAUGAAGGCUGGUACCUGAGCUGUGCUGCAGCCCCUUUGCUCUCAGAAACCACCUUUUGGAACCUAUAACUCUCCAAACAAAAACUUUGUCUUGCAAGAGUCUAAGAGAGAGGCAGACUAAAAUUUAGGUCAUGUUUAAUCUGUAUCAAAGAUCAACUUGUUGAAUGGACCUUCAAAGUGUGUGAUAGAUGUGAGGAGCAUGUAAUAAUAAACCGAAAUCAAAGUAGUAGGUUUUAUGGAUGGACAUAAACAGCUUAUUUACAUAUUAGCUUAUGUAUUUACUAACAUACAUAAAUGUUUAUGUAUUUUUUGAUCAUUAUUGACACUUUCUGAAGACUCUGAACAAAGCCUUCAUAAUAAACAUUUCUGCAGUCUAACGGUGGGCUGCUGCUUACAAUAAAAUGUGUUUUCUGUGCUUUCCUGCACUACAUCGCAUUGUCAGCAUUCCAUCAUUCUCAGCUUUUGCUGUUUUUUUUCAUUUUUCACUCACUUCUGUGACAAAACCUCAAAUAGAGGAUUUCUUCUUUCUUGGCUCUAAUGUAUUUGACACGUCGUUGGAGAAAAACUCUGAAACUUGUGAUGUUUUUUCCUUUUGCUGAUAGACCAGUGAUGAGGACAAAGACUGUCCCUCUGAUCCCGGGCAAUUGCAAGGUGAGAGUUUUUGGUUGCUGAAUGGGGUGGUGGGAAACUGUGCUUGAUGGCACCAGGCACCUGAAAAAAUGCUGCAGUUCGGUGUCUCCUGAUGGCAACUCCUGAUCAGUGGAGGAUGGGGAUGUGUGUGCGCUGUCCCUCUGCAGUGAGUAAAUGAAAAACAGGAGGUCUGAGUGGCCAAAGGGGCACAGGCAGGCCUGGAGGGGUGAAGCUCCCGUUGGCACAAAGUCGAGGCUGAGCAUGUGUGGGGCCACCAACCCAUUCCAGAUGCCACCUGGCCCAGAGCAACAAGAGAGCAUGCACCGAAGUGAGCUUCCCAGAACUCAGCGCAUUUCCAGGGUCCCUUGUCAGUCACUGCCCAGGGCUGGGAUAGAGGUGGAACCCAGGAAGAUACAGAAGACAGACUGGCAAAUGGCUUUGUGUGGUACCACCACUAAGCUUGGAUGUGUGUAUCUAUGGA
Long non-coding RNA from Cuculus canorus (common cuckoo), 2982 nucleotides. RefSeq lists it as uncharacterized. The transcript has 4 exons. NCBI's taxonomy places the organism in Eukaryota, Metazoa, Chordata, Aves, Cuculiformes, Cuculidae. The record is from RefSeq and is a predicted model, not a curated record.